UACGUAGGGUGCGAGCGUUAAUCGGAAUUACUGGGCGUAAAGCGUGCGCAGGCGGUUUUGUAAGUCAGAUGUGAAAUCCCCGGGCUCAACCUGGGAACUGCAUUUGAGACUGCAAGGCUAGAGUGUGGCAGAGGGGGGUAGAAUUCCACGUGUAGCAGUGAAAUGCGUAGAGAUGUGGAGGAAUACCGAUGGCGAAGGCAGCCCCCUGGGUCACUACUGACGCUCAUGCACGAAAGCGUGGGGAGCAAACAGG
RNAcentral lists this ribosomal RNA (253 nucleotides) under uncultured bacterium. RNAcentral's name for it is "partial 16S ribosomal RNA". It matches the Rfam family "Bacterial small subunit ribosomal RNA", at positions 524 to 776 of the family's 1533-position model. The record is from RNAcentral.